This 2351-nucleotide long non-coding RNA is filed under the name Pelobates cultripes (western spadefoot toad). Lineage: Eukaryota; Metazoa; Chordata; Amphibia; Anura; Pelobatidae. The record is from RNAcentral.
UGGAUAUAAUGCACAGAACCUGCAAUAUCUGCCUGUCCCUUUCCCCCAAAACCUUUUCAAUUAGCAAAAUUUUUUUUUUUUUUUACUAUAUAUACACACACACUAAUUUCCACAGAUGGUAAACAGUUUGUAGUAAUUGGGAGCAGGUGUGCCUUUGUGUGUAGAGUUGGUGUUUGUAUAUAAUUUUAGCAUUUUAAUACAGGGGUGUGUUUUGUAUAUAAUGAUUGCAUUUGCGUUUAGGUUUUUUUGGAUGUAGUGUUGACUUUUAAAUGCAUGUGUGUAGUAUUGGUGUUUGAGUGAAGGAUGUGUUUGAGUGUUUGUAUAUAAUUUUGGGGUUUGAAUUCAGGGGUGUUUUUGUAUGUAAUGUUUGUGUUUGCAGGGGUGUGUUGGCGUUUGCUGGGUUGUAUGCCACAUACUUACACAGAUAUACAUACACAUUAACACAGAGAUACACUUCACGUAUACACACAUUCAUAAACACAGAAAUACACACACUGGCGCAGAUACACACAGACAUACACACUGGUGCAUACACAAACUCAGAUACACACAGUGACAUGCACACAGAUACACACAGAUACACGUACACAGACAAACACACUGAUACGUACACACACACUCGGAUACACACACACCUUAACAUACAGAUACACGCACACCGACAGAUACACACACUGACACUCAGAAACACACUGACCCACAGAUAGACACACUGGCACAUACACACAGAUACACAACCUGGCACUGACACACAGUGACACAUACACUGCAACACACACAGGCACACACCUUAACCCACCAAUACAAACACACUGUGACACUCAGAUACACACAGUGACACAUACUAUCAGAUACACACACUGGCGCAUGCACUCAGAUACACACUGACACAGAUACACACAGUGACAUACACAGUGGCACAUACACACAGUAACACAUUAAUACACACAGUGACAUACACACACACACUGUCAAAUACGCACACGUCAUUAUAUAUAUAUAUAUAUAUAUAUAUAUAUAUGCAGUCACCCUCCUGUUAGCAUACCUGUUGUCUGAAGGAGGGUGAUUUGCUGAGGCUGGUGUGUUUGGGGGGAGCUGCUCACUCCUGGCUGCUGCUUCUCUCCCUCCAGCACUGCACACAGAUACACACAGAUACACGUACACAGACAAACACACUGAUACGUACACACACACUCGGAUACACACACACCUUAACAUACAGAUACACGCACACCGACAGAUACACACACUGACACUCAGAAACACACUGACCCACAGAUAGACACACUGGCACAUACACACAGAUACACAACCUGGCACUGACACACAGUGACACAUACACUGCAACACACACAGGCACACACCUUAACCCACCAAUACAAACACACUGUGACACUCAGAUACACACAGUGACACAUACUAUCAGAUACACACACUGGCGCAUGCACUCAGAUACACACUGACACAGAUACACACAGUGACAUACACAGUGGCACAUACACACAGUGACACAUUAAUACACACAGUGACAUACACACACACACUGUCAAAUACGCACACGUCAUUAUAUAUAUAUAUAUAUAUAUAUAUAUGCAGUCACCCUCCUGUUAGCAUACCUGUUGUCUGAAGGAGGGUGAUUUGCUGAGGCUGGUGUGUUUGGGGGGAGCUGCUCACUCCUGGCUGCUGCUUCUCUCCCUCCAGCGCUGCGUAUUCUACAUGAAGCUGGGAGGAAGUAGCCGUCUGUCACUUCCUCCCAACAAACAUACCCGUUUGCGCUAUUAAUCAGCCGUGCUGCUGACCAGGCCUCUGUGCAGCAAUGCAUGGGCCACCCGAUGGACAGAUCACUGUGGAACCCCAAUUUUGUUCUUGCAGAACCCUAGGGUUCUGCGGAACACCAAUUGGGAAACACUGCUGUAGACACAAAACAUUUUUAAAGUGUUUUUCGAUGCUAAGAUACUUUUGUAUCAAGAUCCAGGGGUGAAUUCUCUAAGAAUAAUUUAUUUUCAACAAGAGCUAGUAUCUAAAUAAAGAGGCAGGUGCACUUAUCACAUUUACAAAAGUCACACUUAAUUGAACUGCCAAACACAAUUAUAAACCAGAUGCUUUGUUAGCCAACUGAUCAGUGUAUGCACAAUCAACAUCUCAGUUAUUAAUAAAAAAAAUUAAAAUAAAAGGAGAAACUGCUGCAAUAGUAGGAUUUAAUAAGACACCUGGGAUUGGCUGAGAAUUCUUGGCCAGAUCCUGGUUUGUGCAUGAAUUGAGAUGUUAUAAGAUCUGUAAAACCCUACAAAUAUGGGUUACGUAGAAUAAAUAUAGUAUAGAAUUUUAAUUAGUUUACAUUUUUAAAUUUA